AAAUAGAACUUUGCAGAGAGAGUUAAGAGGGCGUGAACCGUUAAUUGGCAAACGAAUCGGAGCCACGAAGUCGUUUCGUUGUUUAGUUGGGUUAGGUUCAGCGAGUGUCGCAAGGCACUUGUGUAUUCCUAAAUCUGGCCAAACCUUGUAAGCGUACACUGCAACCAGUUAGACGAUCAACGAUGGGCACAGUGAUUGAAGAAUGGAGCAAUCCGGGACUCUUUCACGAAGCAAUUUGUUUGCUCGGGUUAGUAGUAGUGCAGUUGGGCCUCACGGUCCUCCUUGUGUUGCUGGAUCCGUGGCAAGUGAACUAUCAUUGAAUACUGACUGGCGAAUUGAAAAUCGCGCUUGCCGCGUUAGAGACAAAGCUGUUGGCUUUAUAAGUGUCUACACAUUCGACUGUUGAGUCUAAGCUCGGCGCUUUUGAAUUCAGACUUGCUUGCUAUCAGUGGGGCAACUCCUGGUGCUUGUAUAGCUUCUGUCUAAUCGGGCGUCGACUUGGCUAAGCAUUGUUCGUGGUGUGAACCGAUUGGAUGCUUAUAAAAGCUGAUAAGCAAUGUGAAUUGGCAGUGAGUAGGUCGGCUUUCCGAACGACCCGUCUUGAAACACGGACCAAGGAGUCUAAUUAGGCAUCGAGUCGAUCGGUCUUGAUAGGCCAGACUGGGUCCCCUUGUGGGGCUUGAAUGAAGGCGUAAGAAAUCAAAUCGUGUGAUCGUGGUGGUAACAACAACCAUUACGCGCAACAUGUGCCUGUUCGUAUAGCAAUGUGCUUGCACUUGCUGAGCGGAGCAAAGAGAUGCUUGAUUGGGACCCGAAAGAUGGUGAACUAUGCUUGGGCAAAUUGAAGCCAGAGGAAACUCUGGUGGAGGAUUGUAGCGAUUCUGACGUGCAAAUCGAUCGUCAGACCUGAGUAUAGGGGCGAAAGACUAAUCGAACCAUC
This 940-nucleotide ribosomal RNA is filed under the name Aculus sp. 28sd2-5r58. RNAcentral describes it as "eukaryotic LSU rRNA". It matches the Rfam family "Eukaryotic large subunit ribosomal RNA", at positions 366 to 944 of the family's 3401-position model. The record is from RNAcentral. Lineage: Eukaryota; Metazoa; Arthropoda; Arachnida; Trombidiformes; Eriophyidae.